AUUUGUAUUCUUUAACAGGUAGGGAUAAAUUAUAUUUAUUACUUUGUCAAUUUAGUUUAAAUU
RNAcentral lists this transfer RNA (63 nucleotides) under Anthocephalum grabatum. RNAcentral describes it as "Alveobothrium grabatum tRNA-Leu". Lineage: Eukaryota; Metazoa; Platyhelminthes; Cestoda; Rhinebothriidea; Anthocephaliidae. The record is from RNAcentral.